CGAUUGGCUAUAUAGCCUGUCAUUGACUUCUCGGAAGCUCUUAGCUGGGUUUCUUCAGUUUUUUAUUGGUGGGCGGUGGAGUCUCAGGGUGACGCAUCCGGGCGGGGUCACAUGUUGUUUUCGCCGUGCUGCUUUCCCUCCCCCUCCAGCUACAGUCUGUCUGUAUUAAGUGUACGCGCGGCAGGAGAAUUCUGUCUCCUCCGGUUUUGUAUGGGAGCAAAGAGUUUCCAGCCAACAAGGAAAAUGAGCGGAAUUUAGAACUGACCCGCCAGGAAGACGAAGCGCCAGAGCCGCACACUGCCUAAUCCAUUCGCAGAGGGAGGAGAAGUAGCGGGGUGCGCUUCAAACGGCUGCCGCAGAGACGAGCAGGGGUACAGCGCACGCCAGCAGCUGGGUUUCCCAAACCCUCCAUGGCGGGUGUGCUGUGUCCUACUGAAGAGGACAGAUCGAGUCGAGCAGCCUUGAGAAUGCUUCCCCCGCAGCCGUGUCCAGAUGAGAGCGGCGCAUACAGGCGGAUGUCUGGACCGACGCUGUCGCAGGUGCAGGAGGAACCGGCAGCCGAACCCCCGCAGCCGCCGGCAUCCGCCGCGGAGGAUGAUGUGAGGAAACGCGGCUACCUGCGAAAGCAGAAGCACGGACACAAGCGCUACUUCGUGCUGCGGAGCCAGAGCCACCUGGGUCCCGCCCGGCUCGAGUACUACGACAACGAGAAGAAGUUCCGGAGCGGACAACGGAGCGGCUGCCACCCCAAGAGAGUCAUCCCGCUGUACCUGUGUUUCACAGUCAGCCGGCGGGCAGAUGCCAAAAACAAGCACCUCGUGGCUCUCUACACCAAGGACGAGUACUUCGCUAUGGCGGCAGAGAACGAACAGGAGCAGGACGGCUGGUACCAGGCCCUCAGCGAGCUCAUCAAUGAGAGCAAGGGCGCCUGCCUGGACACCGAGGAGCUGGAGGAGAACUACGGCACCCUGAGGCCGGGCACUGUAUUCAAAGAGGUGUGGCAGGUAAACGUGAAGCCCCGAGGGCUGGGUCAGGCCAAGAAUCUGUCGGGGGUCUAUCGCUUGUGUCUGUCCAGCAAGGCGGUGCAUCUGGUCAAGCUGAACUCGGAUGUAGCCUGUGUCCAUCUGCUGCUCAUGAACAUCCGCCGCUGUGGCCACUCCGAGAACUACUUCUUCAUUGAGGUGGGUCGCUCCUCCUCCACCGGGGCAGGUGAGCUGUGGAUGCAGGUGGAUGACUGUGUGGUGGCGCAGCACAUGCACGAGACCUUCCUAGACACCAUGAAGGCUCUGAAGGCCUAUUCGGAAUUCAGGCCCCGGAGUAAGAGCCAGUCCUCCUGCACAAAUCCCAUCUCUUUCAUCACCACCAGAAGGUACUUGGGCAACCUGCCCCCCAGCCAGACUGGACUGCAGAGAAGGGCCAGGACUGAGAGUAUGGUGGGAACACCCCCCUCUGCUAAGAAUAAUUCUUUUCGUUUUAGAACCUCCAGUGAAGGAGAGGGUACAAUGACCAGACCUUUCAGGUCUGUGACUGGGAGUCUGAGCCAUUUAAACACGGCAAGGAUUAACCUGGGAAAGCAAGAAGGAGCUGGGAGGUAUGUCAGAGCACCUUUUAAUUCUGGAUACCAGUCCAGGUCGGCCUCAUUACCUGUGUCUCAUUUCCCAUCUGCCACCAGUCCUAUAAGUGUGUGCUCUAGCAGCGGGCAUGGGUCUGCAUCUGAAACGCUGACCAGGCCAUCUAGUUCCUCUGUUUGUGGAUCUCCUAGUGAUGGUGGGUUUAUUUCCUCUGAUGAAUAUGGUUCAAGCCCUGGUGACCUGAGGUACUUCCGGGUUAGAAGUAAUACCCCUGAUUCCUUGGGAAAUACACCUCCCAUACAGGAAGAGAACACAUUGAGUGACUACAUGUCAAUGAGCACACACAGCCAGCCAGAUUCUAGGGACGAUUAUAUGGAAGCUGAUAAAUGUUUUAGGAAAAGGACAUACUCCCUAACAAAACAUACAAACUCUGCAUCCAAGCAAAAGUCCCAGACUGCAAUUUCUUUGGGGGAGGACUCAGAAGAGAUUAAUAAACAGUUUGCCUUUGCUGAAUCACCAAAGCUGAAAGAUAGUAGUCUUGUAGAUGAUUAUAGUAAUGGUGUAAUAGAUUCUGUUUGUAACCAAAGCAGAAGUAAAGCUAGUGAUGAUGGCUACAUGCCAAUGAUGCCUUCUAAUUUAUAUGACAGUGACUACUUACCCAUGGCCCCAAAAACUGUGUCUGCACCAAAACAAAUUAAUAGGUGUCCUUCUCAGGCAGACUCUAAGGGUUAUAUGAUGAUGUUUCCCAUUAAUAGUUCACCUGUCAAAAAUGUAUUUGGAGGGGCUGCUACUAAAAGUAACCUUGAAAAACUGAGUAAUGGAGGCUACAUGGACAUGUCAUAUGGGAACUCCACAAAACAAAUUCAUGACUCUAAUUUAAAUAAUAAUUCUAGGGGGUUGAGUUCUUAUUUUUCCCUGCCUAGGAGCUUUAAAAGCUUAACUAAGCAGACCACAGAUCAAAAUGAAUAUGUUCCAAUGUCCUCACCUGGAAAGCUGCUGCAUUUGGGUGCAGAAAAUGGAGUGGAUGUUUGUAAGGAUGGAGCAGUUCAUGAUAUAGCUAAGAUUGAAUUAAAAUCUUCCAGUAGCAUACUGGAUCAACAAGUUAAAAGGCCAAAUAAACUUACUCUAGGCAUCAGGGGAAGUAAUACCAUACCAAGAAUGUUUGAUCACUCUGCUCCAGCUGAACCUACUAGCCCUGGAGAGUAUAUAAACAUCGACUUUAGUGAUAAAGCAAGUAGUACUCCAUAUUCACUAUCUGCUGAUGGGUCACCUUCCUCUCUUGGGUCAAGCUGUGAUCAUCGUCAGUCUCCGUUAUCUGAUUACAUGAGUGUGGAUAUUGAUGUACAGUCUCCAAAAGCAACGGCAGAACAGUCUAACUCUUUAACAGACAUUUCAUUAUAUGCAUGCACUGUUGUCUCUAGAAUGCAGCCAAAUGCUGAAUAUGCCAAGCUUCCCUGUGGUACAGCUUGUGUCAGCAAAACGGACAACAUAAUGGAUGAUUACACCACAAUGACUUUUAACAUGGCAAUGACUCCACCAAGAUCCUUUGCCAGUGAAACAGAGAAUGGUACAAAAGUGGACAGUCCUUCAUCCAUUGUGAAUCGGUUGUGUAUAGGGGAAUUGACUUCUCUUAACAGUGGCUUUUCUUUACCAAAUCCUUUGCCUGAACCUAUAGCUGGGCCUAAAGUUAUCCGUGCAGACUCACAGGGAAGGCGAAGGCACAGUUCUGAAACUUUUGCCUCUUCCAGCACGGUGACCACUUCCUCUUCUUGCUUUACUGAAAGUGGCAAGAGGCACAGCUCAGCCUCAUUUGACAAUGUAUGGCUUAAACCUGAUGAAAACAGUUGUGAACAAGAGAAUAAAAUGUCCAGGCAUUGCUCAACAGGAUUUCAGAAUGGGUUAAACUACAUCUCUUUGAGUAUGCACAAUGGUGUUUGUGAACCAACGUCCCCAGAUUGCCAUCAGCACCAAAACGGAAGUAGAAAUCUGGAGAGUGGGGGUUAUGUCAGCAUCGACUUCACAAGGUGUGACUGUCUGAAGUGUCCCACUUCAAGAAAAGUUACACUACACCCUGCCUCCACACCGUUGCGAGGGCUUACACCUUGAGAGAAAGAUCUCAUCCGGAGCACAAAUAUAAUUGAAAUUUUUUAUUCAGCAGCUCUCCAGUUUGCAGUUUCAGCAAUGUUAUAAGAACUGGCAGAUACCCCAUCUAUAACUAUUUCUCAUUCAGUUGCUGAUUCAUCAUAGAGCUUGUUUAUAGUUGCAGAUGCUGGUUACCUUUGACUAUAAACUGACCAUACAUGUAUUAACACAGCACCUGCUAGAUGGCCCAGCACUAUAAAGACUAUGGAGUGUGGUUCUGAAUGAUGGGCAAUAUAAGUACUGAGUGCAUUACCAUGGAAACCAUACAGAAGAAUGUGUCACCCCAGCCUCUCGGCUGGAACACAGACGACUCUGAAGAAACGCAGGAAUAGAAUGCGUGAACUUGUGCUGAAUUGGAAAUGGAUACCUGCUUUCCCACACAGACUUAACUGUACAGCCAUUUAAAGCUUAUUUUGAUGACUUGGCAAAUGAAGCUUAUUUUUUUUCAGCAUAAUUAUUUUUUUGAGAAGAUAAAUUCUCAUUGCACGUCUUACAGUUUGUAUGUGAGAUCUUGCUGUGCUUCGUAUAGCACUUCUGACUUGCAAAAUGGGGCAGGGAUGUGGAAUCCAUUUUAUCGCUCAGUUCCACCAUUUAAAAUGGUGCCCACUUCAGGCCCCUGCAGGAUAAAAUCUGGGUUCUAAAGGGUUAACUUUACGGAACAGUAACUGUCCGCUUGUUAAUGAUCUAUAUAUAAGUUCUACUUUUCUGGUACAGAAGAAAAUAUUAAAUAUGUAAAGUUAAGAAAUAUUUUGAAAGUUUUAAUUUUUUUUAAAGUCAAAGUAUAUGUAUUUUACUUGAUCUAUAUUAUGGAAAUAUGCCUCAGAGAAUGAACAAAGAUGCAUUUUUCUAUGGUACGUGACUUGGCAUAUCACAGAGCUUCUGUGUGUGUGUGAGCCCCUGUCAUUCUCUUUUCUUAAGUUAUUCCCAUAUGUUCACCCCCACUCAUAACUUUUUUUCCCCUUUGGAGUAUCCAACUUCCCAUGAGCCCCAACACUGCAAUCUAAAUGCAUAACAAAGACUACAGUAUUAAUUGAAACGUAUAGGCCCUGGUGUACACAAUCCAAAAAAAAAAAAAAUAUAUAUAUAGGUACUUUCUUACUGUUGAUCCACAACUUUAACAAAAUGUAGCAUUGCAUCUAACUGUUCUGAAAGGAAAUGGAUUUUAUUUGUGACAUUUUGACAUUGUAUGGACAGUGUUGGACUGAGGCCAACGGGCCUGCUACCUUGGGGGGGCCCCACACCACCCCGGGCCCUUCAGCCGAAAGCACUCUGCCCCCCCCUCCCCCAAGCCACAACCCCCCUCUUACCUAUUCCUUUGCACACGUCCAGGGGCCAGAAAGGGAGGUAAGGAGAGCCUUUGGUAGGGAGCGGUUGUGGACGGCUGGUUUCCUGGUUGCCCCGCCGGCACGGUCCAACCCUGUGUAUGGAUAUAGAUGGUGGAUGAGGAAUGCAAUUGUUGCAGCGCAGUUUUUAUAUGUGAAUUACUAGAACAAUUUAAGAGGGUGUUACAGAUGUUUUUAAGGCCCUACACUGAGAAGAACUCUGUCGCUGCCUGAUCUUGGUGAUUAUUGUUUGCUAAUAUUUUGUAAUGCGUGUCAUCUACAUCUUUUGGUUCAGUCCUGCUUCUCCCAUAUAAGCUUAAUACUGUCACUGUGAAACCAGGUGUAUGCUCUGGCUAUACCCCUUGAAGGCCAGUAUGGAACAAUUCUGACAGUUUACCACUACACAAAACUCAAAUGGGAGAGAGACUAGGACUGGGGACCAUCAGUAUGAAUAUAACUGAUAUCAUUUGUCUUAUUUGCUGUGAUUAGGGUGAAGGCGACUGACUGAAUUGAAUCCCAGGUUGUUACUGACGGCAGGUCAAGCUUUUCUUACUGAGCAACUUUGCAGUACAAUAAUUGGGUGACUUUGUUCUGUUCCAUAGAAAACAAUCCACCACACCCUUCCACUUCAUGUUAGCGCUAUUUUAUAAAAAAAAAAACGUUUAUACGAGCUCUUAAAGGCUCCAAUUAGAUUUGUGAUCAAUAGAUUCAGAUUGUACAUAUAUGUGAAAAUUUAAAUAACUGCUUUAUGUACCAAAAAAAAAACUUAUUACAAAUGUGGAUGCAUUAGAAACAGAAUAUACAUUUAUUUUUCCCAUGGUGGUCAGUUGUGUUGAACACCUCUCUGACUUUCUCUAGAUUAACACCUAUUUCAUCUUUGUUUACACACAAAAGCUUUUGGUUUUUUUUUUGUUUUUUUUUAUGGAAUUGAACAGUUGUCUUAAUACCCCAGACCCAAACUCUUUGCCCCCUCGUGAUCUUGCAGCUGCCAGUUCAGAUCUUAACAACCUCAACCUUAGAUUUAUGUGAGUGUUUUAAUACAGGUACAGCAUAAAAUAUGCAAUCUCUUUAGUUUACAAACAAAAAAUUAAUUUAUUCAGUAUUGUGCUGGAAUAUAACGGAGUAUGUAAGCAUAUCACUAGAUAUUAUCUUCCAGCUGCCAGUUUAUGCUGCUGUAUAGUUUAAAAUUUACCAGUGACGGAAGAAAUGUUUUUGUCCUGUAAAUUUAAUUUCAUAUUUGGGAGUUAUUUUGUCUGUACAAAUUAAUAAAAAAGAAGUUGGUACUGUU
Molecule: RNA transcript, 6323 nt
Organism: Xenopus laevis (African clawed frog)
Lineage: Eukaryota; Metazoa; Chordata; Amphibia; Anura; Pipidae
Gene: irs4.S
Gene name: insulin receptor substrate 4 S homeolog
Exons: 4
Source: RefSeq, marked provisional